Molecule: small nuclear RNA, 107 nt
Organism: Ictidomys tridecemlineatus (thirteen-lined ground squirrel)
Lineage: Eukaryota; Metazoa; Chordata; Mammalia; Rodentia; Sciuridae
Source: Ensembl
GUGCUCGCUUCGGCAGCACAUAUGCUAAAAUUGGAACAAGACAGAGAAGAUUAGCAAGGCCCCUUCUCGCGGAUGACAUGCCAAUUCGUAAAGUGUUCCAUAUUUUG